AAUGUAGGUGCAUCUGUUAAGUUCGCCUACGUCCUGUAGGCAACACAGAUGUCAACACUUCCUGUGUA
Small RNA from Gracilibacillus kekensis, 68 nucleotides. It matches the Rfam family "Bacillaceae-1 RNA". The record is from Rfam. NCBI's taxonomy places the organism in Bacteria, Bacillati, Bacillota, Bacilli, Caryophanales, Bacillaceae.